GGUGGUUCAGUGGUAGAGUGCUUGCCUUGCAUGCAGGAGGCCCUGGGUUCGAUUCCUCAGCACCA
This 65-nucleotide transfer RNA is filed under the name Dipodomys ordii (Ord's kangaroo rat). It matches the Rfam family "tRNA". From Rfam's summary of the family: Transfer RNA (tRNA) molecules are approximately 80 nucleotides in length. Their secondary structure includes four short double-helical elements and three loops (D, anti-codon, and T loops). Further hydrogen bonds mediate the characteristic L-shaped molecular structure. tRNAs have two regions of fundamental functional importance: the anti-codon, which is responsible for specific mRNA codon recognition, and the 3' end, to which the tRNAs corresponding amino acid is attached (by aminoacyl-tRNA synthetases). tRNAs cope with the degeneracy of the genetic code in two manners: having more than one tRNA (with a specific anti-codon) for a particular amino acid; and 'wobble' base-pairing, i.e. permitting non-standard base-pairing at the 3rd anti-codon position. The record is from Rfam by way of RNAcentral. Lineage: Eukaryota; Metazoa; Chordata; Mammalia; Rodentia; Heteromyidae.